RNAcentral lists this long non-coding RNA (254 nucleotides) under Pelobates cultripes (western spadefoot toad). The record is from RNAcentral. Lineage: Eukaryota; Metazoa; Chordata; Amphibia; Anura; Pelobatidae.
UAACAAUUCCCAAAUCCUUCUUGUGUGUGGUUAUCCCUAGUUCACUACCAUUUAGGGUGUAAAUUGCUUGUGCAUCCUUAACCCCGAAGUGCAUAACUUUGCCAUUUCUCUAUGUUAAACUUCAUCUGCCAUUUUAGUGCCCAGCCCCCCAAUCUAUCCAAAUCCCUCUGCAGCAAGGCAAUAUUCUGCUCACAUUUUAUUACUUUACAAAGUUUUGUGUCAUGUGCAAACACUGAUACAUGGCUUUCAAUGCC